RNAcentral lists this long non-coding RNA (2308 nucleotides) under Parus major (Great Tit). Its description in RNAcentral is "lncRNA (ENSPMJG00000000044.1)". Lineage: Eukaryota; Metazoa; Chordata; Aves; Passeriformes; Paridae. The record is from RNAcentral.
CUUCCUUCCGCACUUCCUUCCUUCCGCACUUCCUUCCUUCCUUCCGCACUUCCUUCCGCACUUCCUUCCACACUUCCCUCCCUCCCUCCUUCCCUCCUGUAUUCCAAGCUGAAGUAACUUUCUGUCAAAGAACAUCGAAACUCAUGAGCUGCAGAAACAACAGACAGCUCAAAGCACAGAAGAACAAGGAGGCAGAUAUAUAUCUAUAUCAAGACCACAUCUGAAGAGCUUAGAUCUAACAAGCAAGAGCAGCAGACUUUGGGUCUCUAUUAAAAGAGUGUGAAAAUUAAUAUUAUAAAGCCUCAUUUGUUAAAACAUGAGUGAAGGAAAAAUAACCCUUCUUGAAAAGUAAUCAAAGAAAAGAUUUGAUUUUUUUUUUUUGUGCGAGACUGAAUUUUUAUAUUUCUGUUGAUAAAACCCAAAGAUCCUUCACAGCAGCAACAGAUGCAGAAGUUACUUGCAGAAAUGAUACCUCUUCUUAAUCUGUUUGUAUACCCAAAUGAUCAGAUGUUCCAGGUAAUUGACCAAUCAAACCAUUCAGCAGUUAAUUUAAUUUGAAGUUUCUUUCAUAACACUUAACUUUCAACCAUGACACAUUUUCUUAGAAUCCUGGAAACUAAAAUAAUGAAGUUUCAUUGAAUUAGGUAAAUGCAAAUCUUCUUAAAAUUUUGGAAACACUGAAAAAUAAGAAAGCUGUAACAAACAAAAACUGCAGAGAUUGUAACAAUUUGCUGAUUUACCAACAAUACAAUUUGCAAAGCUCCUAAUUUUUGAAUUGUCUAAUUAAAACUCUCUCUUUUUUAUCUUUCUCUGAGAUGUCCAGCUUUUUGUUGUUUCUUUUUUGUUUUUGUUGCUUUUGGUAGUUUUACCGAAGUUGCUUUAGUUGUUUCACAUGGCGACAGCGUUUCUGGCUGCUGUGUGCAAACCGUCCACACCGGGUUGGUUUUGAAUCUGAGAAAAAACUCUAAAAACUUAUAUUUAAGGAGAAACAUCUUUUCAGGAGAUAAAUCCCUUUUUGGGCGAUUGCUGUUUGUGUCAGAAACGGACCCUGAGAUCAAGAGUCUCGGGCUCUACCGGCUGAGCCAGCCAGGCCAACUUCUCGAACUUUCCGGGCUUGGCUUCAGUGCCGAAACGCACAUGUGCAACCCGACACGGGACCCCACCAAUCUCCGCUCCCUGAGGGCCGGGUCCUCCUCAGGCGUCAUGGAUCGCGGCACCGGUCUCCCUGCGGGGUGUGCCUUUGUAGCUUUGGCCAACCCCUUUUCUUUCGCUGUCUGGCUAUGGCAGCGUCCUAAUAUUUUUUUCUAAUCUCUCCCCCCCUCUGCUCGGGGUCACUCCGUGGCGCGGCCAUUCUGCCAUCUCCCGCCGCUCUUUGAAGCCGCUCCUCUGGGCAGCCUUCAGGGUCGCCUGCUGAGCGAACACCUCCCCGCCCCGCCCCGUGUCCCCCUCUUGGGUGGACACACCUUCAGCAGUCUUUUCUAACAUCUCUAUGUUAUUAAAUUCGUCAGAGGGCGGGGUAAGCUCCCUCCCUCACUCUGGCUCCUCUGACGUGCAUGGAGGGUGCAGGGUAGGGGGCUAUUCUAAAGGUGUGGUUUCAGAAACAGCGUGGAACUUUUCUAACUUUUUUUUUCUAUCCCCCCCCCGCGAUUUCUUCGGACUACAAUAAUUUCAAAAAGACUCUAUAUAGAACAUCCUAUCUCUCCAUGCAAGUUUUUUAACCUCCAACAAUAUAACAAACUGCUCACUCUGCUUUCUGAAGUAACACAAAUUUCCCGGUGCUCAAUUUUCCCUCGCAUUUCUCUCUCGUCCCCCCACGUUCUCUGAAGGGACAGGGAUAGGGGUACCAUGCCGCUGGGGAAUUUUCUGGGUUUCCCACGCUUUCAGAAAGGGCAGUUCAUCCCCCCACAUUCCCGGGGCUCCUAUCUCUUUAAACCUCAUAUUUACAUUUUCCCCCAUAUCAUGGGUUUAAACAAUCUCUCUUUAUAAAUACUCCAUCCCAUUAUCUAGACCGUAUACAGCUUACCAGACCUGUUGGCCAUCUUCAGAUUACUGACCAGCAGAAUCCAAUGUUCCGUGUCCAGGGCCCUUGGAAUUUCGGAAUGUGAUAGCAGAUGUUUUUCUCCAGACAGAUUUCUUUUAGGAACUGGUUGCUGUGAUCUUGCAGGUGUUGACUGAAGCUUCUGUGAGUUUUUGUCUCCUCACACAGGGCACCAUUUGUAAUGUCUAUUUCUUUGCCUCCUUUGGGCUGAAUUCUCUGUGGAUACAACUUUUAUCUAGUCUUUCAGCCUCCUUUGGGCUGAAUUCUUCU